Molecule: ribosomal RNA, 482 nt
Filed under: uncultured bacterium
Lineage: Bacteria
Description: partial 16S ribosomal RNA
Rfam family: Bacterial small subunit ribosomal RNA
Source: RNAcentral
AUUGAACGCUGGCGGCAUGCCUUACACAUGCAAGUCGAACGGUAACGGGCCUUCGGGUGCCGACGAGUGGCGAACGGGUGCGUAAUACAUCGGAACGUGCCCGAUCGUGGGGGAUAACGAGGCGAAAGCUUUGCUAAUACCGCAUACGAUCUACGGAUGAAAGCAGGGGACCGCAAGGCCUUGCGCGGACGGAGCGGCCGAUGGCCGAUUAGGUAGUUGGUGGGAUAAAAGCUUACCAAGCCGACGAUCUGUAGCUGGUCUGAGAGGAUGAUCAGCCACACUGGGACUGAGACACGGCCCAGACUCCUACGGGAGGCAGCAGUGGGGAAUUUUGGACAAUGGGCGCAAGCCUGAUCCAGCCAUGCCGCGUGCAGGAUGAAGGCCUUCGGGUUGUAAACUGCUUUUGUACGGAACGAAAAGCCUUCUUUUAAUACAGGAGGGUCAUGACGGUACCGUAAGAAUAAGCACCGGCUAACUACGUG